AAGGAAGAUAAGAGACGUUUGGAACAACAGAGACAUUAUCACAAGUCCUCUGAUGUUCCAUUUGUCUAAU
This 70-nucleotide small RNA is filed under the name Arabidopsis thaliana (thale cress). RNAcentral's name for it is "ATSL290900". The record is from RNAcentral. Lineage: Eukaryota; Viridiplantae; Streptophyta; Magnoliopsida; Brassicales; Brassicaceae.